AAGGGCUUAGCUUAAUUAAAGUAGUUGAUUUGCAUUCAGUUGAUGUAAGAUAGAGUCUUGCAGUCCUUA
This is a non-coding RNA of Leptonychotes weddellii (Weddell seal), 69 nucleotides long. Lineage: Eukaryota; Metazoa; Chordata; Mammalia; Carnivora; Phocidae. The record is from the annotation of a RefSeq genome assembly.